This 520-nucleotide ribosomal RNA is filed under the name uncultured Entrophospora. RNAcentral's name for it is "SSU rRNA". It matches the Rfam family "Eukaryotic small subunit ribosomal RNA", at positions 569 to 1085 of the family's 1831-position model. Lineage: Eukaryota; Fungi; Glomeromycota; Glomeromycetes; Entrophosporales; Entrophosporaceae. The record is from RNAcentral.
AGCAGCCGCGGUAAUUCCAGCUCCAAUAGCGUAUAUUAAAGUUGUUGCAGUUAAAAAGCUCGUAGUUGAAUUUCGGGAUUGACGUGAUGGUCGUGCCUUACGGGGUAUGAACUGUUGCUGUUGAUUUCUCACCUUCUGGAGAAACUUGAUGUCCUUAAUUGGGUGUCUUGCGGAUCCAGGACCUUUACCUUGAAAAAUUAGAGUGUUUAAAGCAGGCAUUUUUGCUCGAAUACAUUAGCAUGGAAUAAUAGAAUAAGACGGCAUGGUUCUAUUUUGUUGGUUUCUAGGAUCACCGUAAUGAUUAAUAGGGAUAGUUGGGGGCAUUAGUAUUCAAUUGUCAGAGGUGAAAUUCUUGGAUUUAUUGAAGACUAACUACUGCGAAAGCAUUUGCCAAGGAUGUUUUCAUUAAUCAAGAACGAAAGUUAGGGGAUCGAAGACGAUCAGAUACCGUCGUAGUCUUAACCAUAAACUAUGCCGACUAGGAAUCAGACGAUGUUAAUUUUUAAUGACUCGUUUGGUA